This 327-nucleotide ribosomal RNA is filed under the name Clostridioides difficile. RNAcentral's name for it is "partial 23S ribosomal RNA". It matches the Rfam family "Bacterial large subunit ribosomal RNA", at positions 2596 to 2925 of the family's 2925-position model. The record is from RNAcentral. Lineage: Bacteria; Bacillati; Bacillota; Clostridia; Peptostreptococcales; Peptostreptococcaceae.
GUACGCGAGCUGGGUUCAGAACGUCGUGAGACAGUUCGGUCCCUAUCCGUCGCAGGCGUAGGAAAUUUGAGAAGACCUGUCCUUAGUACGAGAGGACCGGGAUGGACGUACCUCUGGUGUACCAGUUGUUCUGCCAAGGGCAUGGCUGGGUAGCUAUGUACGGAAUGGAUAAGCGCUGAAAGCAUCUAAGCGCGAAGCCAACUUCAAGAUAAGAUUUCCCACCGCAAGGGUAAGACCCCAGAAAGACUAUCUGGUUGAUAGGUCGAAGGUGUAAGUGCAGCAAUGUAUUUAGCUUAUCGAUACUAAUAGGUCGAGGACUUGACCAAU